RNAcentral lists this RNase MRP RNA (272 nucleotides) under Chinchilla lanigera (long-tailed chinchilla). RNAcentral's name for it is "RNase MRP (ENSCLAG00000021505.1)". It matches the Rfam family "RNase MRP", at positions 1 to 212 of the family's 266-position model. Rfam says of the family: RNase MRP is an enzymatically active ribonucleoprotein with two distinct roles in eukaryotes. The record is from RNAcentral. Lineage: Eukaryota; Metazoa; Chordata; Mammalia; Rodentia; Chinchillidae.
GUUCGUUCUGAAGGCCUGUUUCCUAGGCUACAAGCAGAGGACUUGCUCCUUGUCUCCUUGCCUUGGGGAAAGUCCCCGGACCUUGGGCAGAAAGCGCCACGUGCUCACGCCCAUAGACCUUCCCCAUGCCUCACACUUAACCCACCAAGAAGCCACUUCAAAAGACACAUAGGAUAUGAUUAGUUCCUUAAGUAUUUUGUCCAUUGUCCUUUGAUUAAGAUUUUUAUGAUGUUUUUUCAUCAGUAGACUAUGGUUAUGAGUUUUGGAAAUAA